This 23-nucleotide small nuclear RNA is filed under the name Arabidopsis thaliana (thale cress). RNAcentral describes it as "snRNA_03617". The record is from RNAcentral. Lineage: Eukaryota; Viridiplantae; Streptophyta; Magnoliopsida; Brassicales; Brassicaceae.
AUCACUGAACUGUGAUUAUCAUC